CGCGUAGGUGGUCCCUUCAAGUCAGAUGUGAAAUCUCCCGGCUUAACUGGGAGCGGUCAUCUGAUACUGCUGGACUUGAGGGUGGUAGAGGGAGGUGGAAUUCCCGGUGUAGUGGUGAAAUGCGUAGAUAUCGGGAGGAACACCAGUGGCGAAGGCGGCCUCCUAGGCCAUUCCUGACACUGAGGCGCGAAAGCGUGGGGAGCGAACAGGAUCAGAUACCCUGGUAGUCCACGCCCUAAACUGUGGAAACUAGGUACAGGGAGUAUCGACCCUUCCUGCGCCGUAGCUAACGCGUUAAGUUUCCCGCCUGGGGACUACGGUCGCAAGACUAA
RNAcentral lists this ribosomal RNA (332 nucleotides) under uncultured bacterium. RNAcentral describes it as "bacterial SSU rRNA". It matches the Rfam family "Bacterial small subunit ribosomal RNA", at positions 568 to 897 of the family's 1533-position model. The record is from RNAcentral.